Pogona vitticeps (central bearded dragon) is the source of this 355-nucleotide long non-coding RNA. RefSeq lists it as uncharacterized. The record is from RefSeq and is a predicted model, not a curated record. Lineage: Eukaryota; Metazoa; Chordata; Lepidosauria; Squamata; Agamidae.
GAUUUUCUGCCUUGAAAGGAUGGGAAGACUUCUUUAUGGAUCUGAAAUAAACACCCAAGUCUCCAGUGCUGCGUCACAAACAAUGUGGAAGCACACAACCCUCUCCUUUUUUUGGCAUGAUAACUUUUUUGAGAAUCUCCCUGCAAGCAGCAGAGUGAAGAAGUGGCAAGGAGAGUGUGAGAACACAUUUUAGGAGGUGUGAAUCGUGGAGGGGGGAAUUGAAAAUUCCUUGUCAAAGUGUCUUGUCAAGCUGAAACAGCCUAAGUGAAUGAGAGCAGAGAAUUCAACUAUUUCUGCUGUUGCUUGGCUUGCCUGCUGCCGCCUGAUGGAGUCAAAAAAGAGAAAGCAUCAAGUG